GUCUGCAGCAAAACCUAAAAUAAUAAAAAAACAAACAAACAAACAAACACACAAUCACGCAAAGUCGCAAACGCAACGAGGAAGAAAAAUAGUGGUAACAGUGAAGAGCGAUUGCAAAAGUAUGAAUCAAGAAAUGGGGACUUGACUGAAGAAUUGAAUAUUGUGAUGCUGUGUGGAUAAUAAAAACGGAAUUUGAGCUACUGUGGUCUCAUUAUUCUCCUCUUUACACGUGGAAAAGCCCAUCAAAGAAUGGACAGGAAAGUCACGAGGUUGCCAAGCUGCUGCAACACCACAUUCGACACCGAAGAAAAACGAACAGCAAUCUGAAUUGGAUGGUGAAAGAGAAUUGAUUGCUCAAAAAUGAGUUGCCGACAGAAAGAAUCAUCGUCAAGUGAAGAAAAAGGAUGAAAUGCCAAAUCGGCAGUUCCAGACGAAACGGUUACUCCCAGCAAACUGGUGGUUUCCUGCGUUCAUUCAAAUAAUCCUGCGUCAAUUCAAUAACAGAUACCUAAAGCGGAGUUGAUUUUCUCCCUGAAUGAACUCGAUGACAGCCAAUCAAAGGCUUCGUCCCAUCGAAAACGAACAGUUGAAUCGGUGAGUGAGGUGUCAAAAGAGAAAAGACCUCGUGUCGAGCAAGACAUAGCAUCCUGAUUGCAUCUGCCACUCUUAAUGCCUUCGUCCCAGUAAUAAUUGAAGAAAAUGCUAUGACCACCAACGUCAACUAACAAAUUACAAUUUCUAUUCCAUCGUCGGUCCGCGAGGAAAAAGAGAAAAGGUCAUUGACAAAACCUAGAAGAGAUUGGAGAGAAAACGAGCGAACACACUACACACGCAAUUUAAAAAAAAUGUCCCAAUGUCGGAUGUUACGUUUGCUUCUGUGUUUGUACUUCUUUUUUUUUCAGUCGAUUUUCACGGUGCAAAUUUAGCCACGGUUUGUUUUUGAAAAGUGAUGAGAUAUUUCCACGCCAUUCGACCAAGCUUAAUCAAAAUUGAAUAAUUCUAAGGCAUCACGCCGAAGAUCUUUUGCCUUUCUCCACGUGAUCGCUGCCGUGUCAUGAAGAUGCUUCUUUGAGAGGGUCUCUACUCUCUACUAUAUUGCAAGACAAAAAUGUGAUGAGAACAGGUCUUGAACAGGUUAUCUGAGUUGGUUAUAAUGUACUUUUAAGAUAAAUCAAGUAGGUUAGUAUAUUGCUUACAUUUUAGUCUACGUAUGUGUGCUUAAGAGAAGUAAGUCGUACACUCGUACGUUACUUUAGAAUGUUUAAGAUGAAAUUUAGGUAUAUUUUCAACAUGUUCAAACUGAUGCUGAUGCAGUGUUUAUUUAUCAUUUUUCAAUUACCAUUUUAGAGUUCAACCUGCAGAUGGGCCGGCUAGUUUGCAUGUCCUUCACGCUUGAAGGUCACGGUGAACAUUACGUGUAAAACUGUCAAUGCGGUGGUGUAGAGGUUGGGUGAGAAAGGUACGUGUUUCAUCAUUAUCAAACAGGUACAAUACCCGCAAGGCUUAAGAGGUGAGGGUGAUAAAAAAAUCGUAUAAAAAGGAGAGAGAAAAGGCCAGAGACAUCAGUCGAGUGAGGAUCUCGGACACGGUAACAACUGCAGCGCACUCUCUGUCACCAUCUGCCUUCUUCACCGUAUUGCCAGUUCGCAUCCAUGGUUAAUAAGGCGUCGUAUGCUGUUGGGUGUUGUAUCGUUGAUGGCUGGGUCGACCACUGGUGUACCGAUGUCUCCUGAGUAUGGCGGAUACCAAACCGCAACGCCACCGCCUUACUACCCAAAAGCAACUUACGUAACGACCAGUUACUGCACCGGGGUCUACAAGUGCUACACUACUAAGGCACCGGAGUUUUAUACCACAACUUACUCUGCCCCGAGUUACUACACCAAGGCGACGGAGCAGGACUACGCAUGCUGCCCUAAGAUCCUACUACACCGAGGCUCCCAACUGCUACACCGAGGCUCCCGCUUAUUACUCCACCAAAACGGUCGAGUACUACACCGAAGCGGCAAAGUACUUCUCUGCCCCGAUCUACGCAACCACAACUGAGACGGCCAAGUAUUACGCAGUCCCGACUUACUACACAGAAGCUGCUCUUUCGUAGUACGUUGAACCGAAAUACUACACUGAUGCUCCAGUUCCCUACAAUACGACCUACGCUACACCGCAGCCCCCAAGUACUACACCGAAAAAACCGUCUAUUACACAACAACGUAUGCUCCCUAGUUUACUACACCGAGGCUCCCAAGUACUACACCACUAAGGCACCGGAAUUCUACACGUCAAUGUAUGCUGCCCCUACCUACUACACCGAGGCCCUGCAUUACUACAACACUGAAGCGCUCAAGAACUACACUACAACCUACGUUGCCCCGAGCUACUACACCUACGUCCCGAAGUAUUAAUGUGCGUGAAAGGAGUCGUCAAGAAAAAAAAAGAAGUCGUGCCAGAACUGCAGUGGCCUAUCUGUCACCAACUGCAUUCCUCAUCGUGUAACCGAUUCGCAAUUAUGGCAAACUAUGGCGUCGGGCUGCUGUUGGUUGUUGUAUCGUUGAUGGCUGGGUCGACCGCUGGUGUAGCGAUGUCUCCUUGGUAUGGUGGAUAAUAAACCACAACGCCGCCGCCUUACUAUAAAACAACAACUUACGCAACGACCAGUUCCUGCACCGAGGUCUACAAGUACUACAUCACUAAAGCACCGGGGUUUUAUACCACAACUUGCUCUGCCCCGAGCCACUACUCUGACGCCCUGAAGUAUUACUCUGCCCUGAGUUACUACACCAUCUAGGCGACGGAGUGCUACAUGACUACGUAUGCUGCCCAUCCUACUACACCGAGGCUUCUAAAUGCUAUGCCGAGGUUCCCGCUGAUUACUCCACCGAAGCGGCAAAGUACUUCCUGCCCCAAUCUACACAACCACAACUGAGGCGGCCAAGUAUUACGCUGUCCCGACUUGCUACACAAAAGCUGCUCUUUUGUGCUACGUUGAACAGAAAUACUACACUGAUGCUCCAGUCUACUACACCACGGCAGCCCCCAAGUACCACGCCGAAGAAGCCGCCUAUUACACAACUACGUACCCUGCCUAGUUUACUACAUCGAGGAAUUUAAUUAUUACCCUGCUCCAAACUGCUACCAAACUGAGGUUCAUAUUUAUUGCAAUUCUCCCGAUUAUGUCACCACUACUUACGCUGCUACGACUUAUACACCGAAGUUCUGAAGUAUUUCUCUGGAUGUGUUGAAAGAUUGCUGAAAUACAAGAUUGAUAAAUCACAAGUGCAUGUUCUCCUUAUGUACAUUUCCUGCUGCUGAUAAUUGCAUGAUGUGAGAAAAUAUUUCUGAGUUAACUUACAAAUAAUUGAUCUUGCAAAAUACAACAAUAAAAAUUCAAACUCA
RNAcentral lists this long non-coding RNA (3393 nucleotides) under Daphnia pulicaria. RNAcentral's name for it is "uncharacterized LOC124344260, transcript variant X4". Lineage: Eukaryota; Metazoa; Arthropoda; Branchiopoda; Diplostraca; Daphniidae. The record is from RNAcentral.